AACAGUGCCAAUGUGCAUGUAAACUUCAGAAUUAAACAAGGGCUGUUGUUUUUGCCUGUCAUGGAGUUCCAUUCAUUCUGAACAUGUCACCGGGGACUUUGGAAUAUGUAUCCAUAACUCCCUGAUUUUCAACCGCAUUCCAGCCUGCCUGACUCAUGAAGCGUGGAGCGACCCAGGAACAUCCCAGCUCCUCAUGUCCCACAUUCUUCAGGCUUUCUCUUAGUUUUGGCAUGUGCAUGUAAAUGUCAACAGAUGGAGUCUCGCUCUGUCACGCAGGCUGGAGCACAGUGGCGUGAUCUUGGCUCACUGCAAACUCUGUCUCCUGGGUUGAACUGAUUCUCCCGCCUCAGCCUCUCAAGUAGCUGGGACUACAGGCGCCCGCCACCAGGCCUGGCUAAUAUUUGUAUUUUUGUAGAGAUGGGGUUUCACCAUGUUAGCCAGGCUGGUCUCGAACUCCUGACCUCAGGUGAUCUACCCGCCUCAGCCCCUCAAAGUGCUGGGAUUACAGGCGUGAGCCAUCACGCCCAGCUGGCUGUAACCCUAUCUUUAGGCCAACUUGUACCCGGCUCCACUAUGGAACUCAGUGUCGAAGUGCCCGGGCUUCCUGCCCUGGUUCUGGAGAUGGGUGGUGACGAUGGCUGCACAACAAUGUGAAUGUACUAAUGGCCACAGAACUGUGCCCUUCACAGUGGCUAAAAGAGUACAUUUUAUGUUAUGUCUGUUUUACCCCAAUGAAAACAAAUAGCAAAUGUUCUGAUAUUCCCUCCAAA
Gorilla gorilla gorilla (western lowland gorilla) is the source of this 770-nucleotide long non-coding RNA. RefSeq lists it as uncharacterized. Lineage: Eukaryota; Metazoa; Chordata; Mammalia; Primates; Hominidae. The record is from RefSeq and is a predicted model, not a curated record. The transcript has 2 exons.